Molecule: ribosomal RNA, 296 nt
Filed under: uncultured bacterium
Lineage: Bacteria
Description: partial 16S ribosomal RNA
Rfam family: Bacterial small subunit ribosomal RNA
Source: RNAcentral
GAGGACCUACGGGACGCAGCAGUGAGGAAUAUUGGUCAAUGGGCGGGAGCCUGAACCAGCCAAGUCGCGUGAGGGAAGACGGUCCUAUGGAUUGUAAACCUCUUUUGUCGGGGAGCAAAGAGGCCACGUGUGGUCAAAAGCGAGAGUACCCGAAGAAAAAGCAUCGGCUAACUCCGUGCCAGCAGCCGCGGUAAUACGGAGGAUGCGAGCGUUAUCCGGAGUUAUUGGGUUUAAAGGGGGCGUAGGCGGGACGGUAAGUCAGCGGUAAAAAUGCGGAGCUCAACUCCGUCGAGCCG